AUGGACGCAAGUCUGAUGGAGCAACGCCGCGUGAGUGAAGAAGGGUUUCGGCUCGUAAAGCUCUGUUGGUAGUGAAGAAAGAUAGAGGUAGUAACUGGCCUUUAUUUGACGGUAAUUACUUAGAAAGUCACGGCUAACUACGUGCCAGCAGCCGCGGUAAUACGUAGGUGGCAAGCGUUGUCCGGAUUUAUUGGGCGUAAAGCGAGUGCAGGCGGUUCAAUAAGUCUGAUGUGAGAGCCUUCGGCUCAACCGGAGAAUUGCAUCAGAAACUGUUGAACUUGAGUGCAGAAGAGGAGAGUGGAACUCCAUGUGUAGCGGUGGAAUGCGUAGAUAUAUGGAAGAACACCAGUGGCGAAGGCGGCUCUCUGGUCUGCAACUGACGCUGAGGCUCGAAAGCAUGGGUAGCGAACAGGAUUAGAUACCCUGGUAGUCCAUGCCGUAAACGAUGAGUGCUAAGUGUUGGGAGGUUUCCGCCUCUCAGUGCUGCAGCUAACGCAUUAAGCACUCCGCCUGGGGAGUACGACCGCAAGGUUGAAACUCAAAGGAAUUGACGGGGGCCCGCACAAGCGGUGGAGCAUGUGGUUUAAUUCGAAGCAACGCGAAGAACCUUACCAGGUCU
Molecule: ribosomal RNA, 619 nt
Filed under: Lactobacillus gasseri
Lineage: Bacteria; Bacillati; Bacillota; Bacilli; Lactobacillales; Lactobacillaceae
Description: bacterial SSU rRNA
Rfam family: Bacterial small subunit ribosomal RNA
Source: RNAcentral